UACACNUGCAAGUCGAACGGCAGCGGGGGAAAGCUUGCUUUCCUGCCGGCGAGUGGCGAACGGGUGAGUAAUACAUCGGAACGUGCCCUGUAGUGGGGGAUAACUAGUCGAAAGAUUAGCUAAUACCGCAUACGACUGAGGGUGAAAGUGGGGGACCGCAAGGCCUCAUGCUAUAGGAGCGGCCGAUGUCUGAUAGCUAGUUGGUGGGGUAAAGGCCCACCAAGGCGACGAUCAGUAGCUGGUCUGAGAGGACGAUCAGCCACACUGGGACUGAGACACGGCCCAGACUCCUACGGGAGGCAGCAGUGGGGAAUUUUGGACAAUGGGCGAAAGCCUGAUCCAGCAAUGCCGCGUGUGUGAAGAAGGCCUUCGGGUUGUAAAGCACUUUUGUCCGGAAAGAAAUGGCUCUGGUUAAUACCUGGGGUCGAUGACGGUACCGGAAGAAUAAGGACCGGCUAACUACGUGCCAGCAGCCGCGGUAAUACGUAGGGUCCAAGCGUUAAUCGGAAUUACUGGGCGUAAAGCGUGCGCAGGCGGUUGUGCAAGACCGAUGUGAAAUCCCCGAGCUUAACUUGGGAAUUGCAUUGGUGACUGCACGGCUAGAGUGUGUCAGAGGGGGGUAGAAUUCCACGUGUAGCAGUGAAAUGCGUAGAGAUGUGGAGGAAUACCGAUGGCGAAGGCAGCCCCCUGGGAUAACACUGACGCUCAUGCACGAAAGCGUGGGGAGCAAACAGGAUUAGAUACCCUGGUAGUCCACGCCCUAAACGAUGUCAACUAGUUGUUGGGGAUUCAUUUCCUUAGUAACGUAGCUAACGCGUGAAGUUGACCGCCUGGGGAGUACGGUCGCAAGAUUAAAACUCAAAGGAAUUGACGGGGACCCGCACAAGCGGUGGAUGAUGUGGAUUAAUUCGAUGCAACGCGAAAAACCUUACCUACCCUUGACAUGCCACUAACGAAGCAGAGAUGCAUUAGGUGCUCGAAAGAGAAAGUGGACACAGGU
This 1000-nucleotide ribosomal RNA is filed under the name Ralstonia mannitolilytica. RNAcentral's name for it is "bacterial SSU rRNA". It matches the Rfam family "Bacterial small subunit ribosomal RNA", at positions 50 to 1039 of the family's 1533-position model. The record is from RNAcentral. Lineage: Bacteria; Pseudomonadati; Pseudomonadota; Betaproteobacteria; Burkholderiales; Burkholderiaceae.